CCCCCCUUGGCGGAACGGUAGACGCAGGCGACUUAAAAUCGCUCACCCUUAGGGUGUGCCGGUUCGAAUCCGGCAGGGGGGACCA
RNAcentral lists this transfer RNA (85 nucleotides) under Roseomonas indoligenes. Its description in RNAcentral is "tRNA-Leu". It matches the Rfam family "tRNA". Rfam says of the family: Transfer RNA (tRNA) molecules are approximately 80 nucleotides in length. Their secondary structure includes four short double-helical elements and three loops (D, anti-codon, and T loops). Lineage: Bacteria; Pseudomonadati; Pseudomonadota; Alphaproteobacteria; Acetobacterales; Roseomonadaceae. The record is from RNAcentral.